GAUGAACGCUAGCGGCAGGCUUAAUACAUGCAAGUCGAGGGGCAGCAUGACUGUAGCAAUACAGUUGAUGGCGACCGGCAAACGGGUGCGGAACACGUACGCAACCUACCCAAACUGAGGAAUAGCCCGGGGAAACCCGGAGUUAAUACCUCGUAACAUAAUUGAAUGGCAUCAUUUAAUUAUUAAAGCUCCGGUGGUUUGGG
Molecule: ribosomal RNA, 203 nt
Filed under: uncultured bacterium
Lineage: Bacteria
Description: partial 16S ribosomal RNA
Rfam family: Bacterial small subunit ribosomal RNA
Source: RNAcentral